AGGACGAACGCUGGCGGCGUGCUUAACACAUGCAAGUCGAGCGGAAAGGCCCUUCGGGGUACUCGAGCGGCGAACGGGUGAGUAACACGUGAGUAACCUGCCCCUAGCUCUGGGAUAGCUCCGGGAAACCGGGAUUAAUACCAGAUACGACCACUUUAGACAUCUGUCGUGGUGGAAAGGAUUCCGGCUAGGGAUGGGCUCGCGGCCUAUCAGCUUGUUGGUGGGGUAACGGCCUACCAAGGCGACGACGGGUAGCCGGCCUGAGAGGGCGACCGGCCACACUGGGACUGAGACACGGCCCAGACUCCUACGGGAGGCAGCAGUGGGGAAUAUUGCGCAAUGGGCGAAAGCCUGACGCAGCGACGCCGCGUGGGGGAUGAAGGUCUUCGGGUUGUAAACUCCUGUCAUUUGGGAACAAUGCGCAAAUAUUAACUGUAUUUGCGUUGAUAGUACCAGAAGAGGAAGGGACGGCUAACUCUGUGCCAGCAGCCGCGGU
This 496-nucleotide ribosomal RNA is filed under the name uncultured bacterium. RNAcentral describes it as "SSU rRNA". It matches the Rfam family "Bacterial small subunit ribosomal RNA", at positions 26 to 521 of the family's 1533-position model. The record is from RNAcentral.